Molecule: ribosomal RNA, 385 nt
Filed under: uncultured bacterium
Lineage: Bacteria
Description: bacterial SSU rRNA
Rfam family: Bacterial small subunit ribosomal RNA
Source: RNAcentral
AACGAACGCUGGCGGCAGGCCUAACACAUGCAAGUCGAGCGAGGUAGCAAUACCUAGCGGCGGACGGGUGAGUAACGCGUGGGAACGUACCCUUUGGUUCGGAAUAGCCCUGGGAAACUGGGAGUAAUACCGGAUACGGUCGAGAGACGAAAGAUUUAUCGCCGAAGGAUCGGCCCGCGUUGGAUUAGGUAGUUGGUGGGGUAAUGGCCUACCAAGCCGACGAUCCAUAGCUGGUUUGAGAGGAUGAUCAGCCACACUGGGACUGAGACACGGCCCAGACUCCUACGGGAGGCAGCAGUGGGGAAUCUUAGACAAUGGGCGCAAGCCUGAUCUAGCCAUGCCGCGUGAGCGAUGAAGGCCUUAGGGUUGUAAAGCUCUUUCAGUG